Molecule: unclassified non-coding RNA, 555 nt
Filed under: Aspergillus chevalieri
Lineage: Eukaryota; Fungi; Ascomycota; Eurotiomycetes; Eurotiales; Aspergillaceae
Also listed under: 2 other names
Description: sequence contains 18S rRNA gene, ITS1, 5.8S rRNA gene, ITS2, 28S rRNA gene
Rfam family: 5.8S ribosomal RNA (bases 187-340)
Source: RNAcentral
UCGUAACAAGGUUUCCGUAGGUGAACCUGCGGAAGGAUCAUUACCGAGUGCGGGCCCUCUGGGUCCAACCUCCCAUCCGUGUCUAUCUGUACCCUGUUGCUUCGGCGUGGCCACGGCCCGCCGGAGACUAACAUUUGAACGCUGUCUGAAGUUUGCAGUCUGAGUUUUUAGUUAAACAAUCGUUAAAACUUUCAACAACGGAUCUCUUGGUUCCGGCAUCGAUGAAGAACGCAGCGAAAUGCGAUAAUUAAUGUGAAUUGCAGAAUUCAGUGAAUCAUCGAGUCUUUGAACGCACAUUGCGCCCCCUGGUAUUCCGGGGGGCAUGCCUGUCCGAGCGUCAUUGCUGCCCUCAAGCACGGCUUGUGUGUUGGGCUUCCGUCCCUGGCAACGGGGACGGGCCCAAAAGGCAGUGGCGGCACCAUGUCUGGUCCUCGAGCGUAUGGGGCUUUGUCACCCGCUCCCGUAGGUCCAGCUGGCAGCUAGCCUCGCAACCAAUCUUUUUAACCAGGUUGACCUCGGAUCAGGUAGGGAUACCCGCUGAACCUAAGCAUAUCA